RNAcentral lists this ribosomal RNA (491 nucleotides) under uncultured bacterium. RNAcentral describes it as "partial 16S ribosomal RNA". It matches the Rfam family "Bacterial small subunit ribosomal RNA", at positions 29 to 506 of the family's 1533-position model. The record is from RNAcentral.
AGUGAACGCUGGCGGUAGGCCUAACACAUGCAAGUCGAACGGCAGCACAGUAAGAGCUUGCUCUUACGGGUGGCGAGUGGCGGACGGGGGAGGAAUACAUCGGAAUCUACUUUUUCGUGGGGGAUAACGUAGGGAAACUUACGCUAAUACCGCAUACGACCUACGGGUGAAAGCAGGGGAUCUUCGGACCUUGCGCGAUUGAAUGAGCCGAUGUCGGAUUAGCUAGUUGGCGGGGUAAAGGCCCACCAAGGCGACGAUCCGUAGCUGGUCUGAGAGGAUGAUCAGCCACACUGGAGAUGAGACGCGGUCCAGCCUCCGAAGGGAGGCAGCAGGGGGGAAUAUUGGACAAUGGGCGGAAGCGUGUUCCAGACAUACCGCGUGGGUGAAGAAGGCCUUCGGGUUGUAAAGCACUUUUGUUGGGAAAGAAAAGCAGCAGGUUAAUACCCCGCUGUUCGGACGGUACCCAAAGAAUAAGCACCGGCUAACUUCGG